RNAcentral lists this long non-coding RNA (8288 nucleotides) under Hordeum vulgare. RNAcentral describes it as "long non-coding RNA (HVUL_LNC017301)". The record is from RNAcentral. Lineage: Eukaryota; Viridiplantae; Streptophyta; Magnoliopsida; Poales; Poaceae.
CUGGCACGCCCCCUCCGGUGGAUCUUUGCGCAGGUAUUUUUCUUUUAUUCUAGAAAAAAUCUCCGUAAAUUUUUAGGACAUUCCGAGAACUUUUAUUUCUGCACAAAAAUAACACCAUGACAAUUCUGCUGAAAACACCGUUAGUCCGGGUUAGUUCCAUUCAAAUCAUGCAAGUUAGAGUCCAAAACAAGGGCAAACGAGUUUGGAAAAGUAGAUACGACAGAGAUGUAUCAACUCCCCCAAGCUUAAAGCCUUGCUUGUCCUCAAGCAACUCAGUUGACAAAUUGAGAGAGACAAAAGAUUGACGAACUCUGGUUGAUCUUGUUGUUGCAAGUAUGUCUAACUCACAACCAGAAUUUCAGCAAGAUCACAAGCAAACCACAUAAGCAAAUGACAUCUAGGUCUCACGGUAAACUCAUAUCAAUGGCAUAAUCAACAAGCGAGCAAAUAAUAAUAAGUUUCAAACGUCAACACUUCAAUCAAAACAAUCAUGAAGCAGUACGAAGAGGUGGUAUCUCGCUAGCUCUUUCUGAGACUGCAAAACAUAAAUGCAGAGCACUUCAAUGACCAAGAGCUGACUAAACAUUGUAAUUCAAGGCAAUGAAGAUCCAGUCACAGUCAUACUCAACACAGUUAAAAGCAAAGCAUAAAAAUGACAGAGGUCCUCUCUAAUUGGUGCUUUUGUAAGAGGAGGAUGAGUCAAUAGGAACAUAAAUAGACAGGCCCUUUGCAGAGGGAGGCAUUGAUUUGCAGAGGUGCCAUAGCUCAAGCUUUGAAAAUAGAGAUAAUAAUUUUGGGUGGCAUGCUUUUCAUUGUCAACGCAAUGACUAAGAGUUCUCAACAUCUUCCAUGCUACACAUGCUAUAUGCGGUUCCGAAACAGAAAAGUAAAGUUUUGACUCCCCCCCACCAAUCAAUCACACUCCACGGCUAGCCGAAUCCUCGGGUACCGUCCAUACCAACAUCAAUCUUGGGGGAGUUUUGUUUGCAAUUAUCUUUUCGAUUUGAGCAUGGAACUGGGAAUUCCAAUUACCGGCCCCUUUCUCGUGAAUGAUAGUGAAUAAACACAUAUCGAGGAUAACACGCCUAGCAUGGAAGAUACUGAUAGCCCCGUGUCACCACAUGAGCGGUUCGGACAUGCAAAACAGAUUAUUUAUUGAAGAUUUAGAGAGUGGCACAUGCAAAUUUACUUGGAACGGCAGGUAGAUACCGCACAUAGGUAGGUAUGUGGACUCAUAUGGAACAACUUUGGGUUUGUGGAAGUGGAUGCAUAAGCAGUAUUCCCGCUUAGUACAAGUGAGGGCUAGCAAAAGACUGGGAAGCGACCAACUAGAGAGCGACAACAGUCAUCAAAAUGCAUUGAGAUUAACUAACAUUGAGUGCAAGCAUGAGUAGGACAUAAAUCACCAUGAACAUGAACAUCUUAGAGGCUAUGUUGGUUUUGUUUCAACUACAUGCGUGAACAUGCGCCAAGUCAAGCCACUUGAAACAUUCAAAGGAGGAUACCAUCCUAUCAUACUGCAACACAGUCAUCUCAACAUUCAUGUGGGCAUCCAAGACAAACCAUUAUAAGCUCCUAGCUAAGUAAGCAUGGCAUAAGCAACUAUGAUCUCUAAGUUGUCAUUGCAAACAUGUUUCUCUCACAACAAAGCUGAAUCAGGCAUGAUGAGCUAGUCAUAUUUACAAAAACAAAAUAGAUCGAGUUCAUACCAGCUUUUCUAGACUCAGUCACUUCAUCAUAUAUCGUCAUUAUUGCCUUUCACUUGCACGACCGAACGAUGUGAACAAUAAUAAGCGUGCUCGUGCAUUGGACUAAAUCUGGAAUCUGCAGGCAAACACAAAGGAUAAGACAAAGUAAUAUGGCUCUUUGAAAGCUAAACAGGUAUGCAUGCAAGAGCCACUAAACAUUGUAACCAAUAUCUUCUACCUUGACCCAAAGAAAAAGAAAAUUAUUUACACGGGAAAGCUCCCAACAAGCAAAAGAAGAAAACAAAAAUCGUUUUUUUUUCUCAAACUAGACAGACACACGAAAAGAAAACGAAAAAAAGAAAAUAACCUAGCAUGGAUGAUACAGUGGCAACGUGUGAACAUCGGCUAACAAAGUGAAAGCAUAAGCAAUAAUGUAAAGUCGGUGAGAACACGUACUCCCCCAAGCUUAGGCUUUUUGCCUAAGUUGAUCUACUCCCAAGGAUGGUCCUGGCGAAACCCAAAAUCAUAAUGGGUGUUAUACGGGAGCGCUGCAGCCACUGCCUGAAUAGCUUCCUCGCGAAGACGAGCAGCCUUUGCCUCCCUCUCAUACUCCUCUGCCUCUCCUCUGGUUAUGUAAUAUCUCCGUUUUACCUGAAAGUCAAAGAAGGCAGGAGCAGGAAGGGUAAUAUGGAAAACACACUGCCGGUUAAAUAUCAAACGGCAUAGGAGGGAUUCGUCAUCCCUCUCAAGGAACUGGUAGCGUGUCAAAGCGACGCGGUCAAGGAAAGCUAUAUGGAGCGGGGGAUCUCCUUCACGGAUGGGUAUUCCAAGAAAAUUUGCUAUGCGAGUGCAUAGAUCCCACCAAAGAAAUCCCCUUCAAUAGCAUUCUUAUUCAGCCUCCUUGCUAUAAUAGCUCCCAUGUUGAAGCUUUUGUCACCCGUCACUGCGCUCUUAAGGAUACUAAGGUCGGGUGUGUAGAGGUGACAAUGCUCAAUCUUGUCAUUAAUGCAUCUAGCUAUGAAGAGGGCAAAGUAAUGCAAGGCAGGAAAAUGAAUACUCCCCAUGGUAGCUUGCGUAAUGUCUCUGGUUUCUCCAACAGUAAUACUAGAGCAAAAAUCCCUAACCGAAGAUUUAGGAGGAUCAUUGAGGCUACCCCAAAUAGGUAUUUUGCAAAUUCUAUUGAAAUCCUCUAAAUCCAUGGUAUACGAUUUAUCAUAGAGAUCAAACAGUACCGAUGUCUCACGACCAGCUGAAAAUUUGAAUCUACGAACAAAAGAGGCAGUGAGAGCAACAUACUGUUCACAUUCAUCGGAGAUGAAUUCUUCGAGUCCAACGUUGUGAACAAGUGCAUCAAACUCAUCUUUGAAACCUGCCUCAAUCAUAAAUUCAUCAGAAGGCCAUUCACAUGGUUGUACCUGCGCGUCCCUUGGUUGGUAAGGAUCAGGCUCCCGUAUCGCUAGACGGGGACCUCUCGUGCUUGAGGAACCACCAUGAUAGUUUCUCCUGAACAUCUUCCUUUUCUGAAAUUUUCAGUGAUUCUAUGGAAAGGUGAACAAGGCUCAACUAAACUCGUAGCAACUACUCCCACAAGUGCCUAGAGGCAAUAUUACGCAUCAAAACUACUUAGGACUAGCUAAAAUAAGCAUGCAAAGCUCAAGAACAUGGUCACCAAGGCAGCAAAAAUACGCGGAGUAUAAGACACUAGAGCAAAAACUAAUUGGACCAAUGGAGGUGUCACUUACCAAGGAGUAAUUUCCCCAAAACAGUUCGGAGAAUGGUGCUUUGAGCAAAGAGAUCGAAAAUUCCAGCAAGAGGAGCAAGAACACGGGUUUGAGCUGCGAAACGUUUUUUUUCUAGAGGUAGGAGAAGGAGAUAAGACCAAGAAGGACUGGUGGGGAUGCCUGUGGGCCCCACAAGCCAGGGUGGCGUGGCGAGGGGGGUGCCCGCGCCGUCAGGGCUGGUGCAGCCCCCAGACAAGCUCUUUGUCUCAGAAUUUUUCAAAAAUCCCAGAAAAAAUCAUACUUGAUUUUCAGGACGUUCGGAGAACUUUUAUUUUCGGGGUACUUUUCUACCAGACGCUAAAACAGAAAACAGGGAAAACUAAACUAUAUCUAUCAUUUUUCUUCUAAGCAACCUAAAGUGAAAGCUUGGAACAGAGGUUCGUGACUCCUCGAAUCGUCCAUCUCAUGGUCAUCGAAGGAAAUCCGUCAAUGAGGUUGAUCAAGUCUCCUCAACAAACCUUUUCGAAUCGCAAAAUGAGAACAGAGAAUUCUUGAAUAGUCACUAAGUUACCUCAAUGGGGAUAUGUGUUUCCCCAACAAGCAAAUAAUACUUCAUCUUGACACGAGGAAUAGGGCAUUCAAAGCUCCCAAUAAGAAUUGAUGAAGUCUUUUCGAUAGCAUUGAUGCAAUGUACUCGAUAUUAUUUCUUCGAAAAGUGCACCGUAUGCUCAUUACCGUUGACAUGGAAAGUGACAUUGCCUUUGUUGCAAUCUAUAACAGCCCCUGCAGUGUUUAAAAAGGGUCUUCCGAGGAUGACUACCAUGGCAUCGUCCUCGGGAAUAUCCAAGAUAACAAAGUAUGUUAAGAUAGUGAUAUUCGCAACCACAAUAGGCACAUCCUCGCAAAUGCCGAUAGGGAAAGNNNNNNNNNNNNNNNNNNNNNNNNNNNNNNNNNNNNNNNNNNNNNNNNNNNNNNNNNNNNNNNNNNNNNNNNNNNNNNNNNNNNNNNNNNNNNNNNNNNNNNNNNNNNNNNNNNNNNNNNNNNNNNNNNNNNNNNNNNNNNNNNNNNNNUCAGGGAAAGAAGUUGAUUUGUCGGCCAUUUGCAGAGAGAUUUCAGUGGGUGUCAACUUAUCUAGUUCAAGUCUACGAUAAAGAGAGAGAGGCAUAACACUAACAUCGGCUCCAAGGUCGCAUAAAGCAGUUCUCACGUAGUUACCUUUAAUGGAGCAAGGUAUAGUGGGCACACCGGGAUCACGUAGUUUCUUAGGAGUUCCACCCUUGAAGGUAUAAUUAGCCAGCAUGGUGGAAAUCUCAACCUCAACCUCAGGUAUCCUCCUCUUAUUAGUCAGAAUUUAUUUCAUGUACUUAGCAUAUGGGGACAUUUUGAGCAUAUCUGUCAAACACAUUUGCAGAAACACAGGUCUGAUCAUUUCAACGAAUCGCUCAAAAUCCUCAUCAUCCUUUUUCUUGGAUGGUUUGGGAGGAAAGGGCAUGGGUUUCUGAACCCAUGGCUCCCUUUAUUUACCGUGCUUCCUAGCAGUGAAGUCAUUCUUAUCGUAUCUUCUAGUCUUAGGCUCUGGGUUAUCAAGAUCAACAGGUUCAAUCUCCACAUCCUUUUCAUUGCUAGGUUGAGCAUCAUCAUGAACAUCACUAUUGAUAUUAUCAUUAGGCUCAUGUUCAUCACCAGAUUGUGUUUCAGCAUCAGAGACAAAGGCAUUGUUUGGACUCUCAGGUGUAGCAGCAACGGGGUUGCUAGCGUGCAGGUUCCUAUCAUCUUUCUUCUUCUUUCUAGGAUGACUAGGUGCAUCACUGCUAACUCCUUGAGAAUCUUGUUCAAUUCUCUUCGGAUGACCCUCGGGAUACAGAGGUUCCUGGGUCAUUCUACCGCCUCUAGUAACGACUCUAACAGAAUUGUCAUUCAACUCAUUGAGCAAGUCAUUCUGAGCUUUAAGUACUUGUUCUACCUGAGUAGUAACCAUAGAGGCAUGCUUACUCAGAAGGUUAAGAUCAUUGACAUUUCUGUUCACACAAGCACUUAAUUGACUAAGCAUACGAGCAUUUUGUUCCAAUUGUCUGCUAACAUAAUCAUUGAAACUCUGUUGUUUGGCAACAAAGUUAUCAAAUUCAUCCAUGCAUAAGCUAGCAGGUCUAUCAAAAGGAAUAUCACUCUCAUCAAACCUACGCAGAGAAUUUACUUCUACUACCUGUAUCGGGUUAUCGAGACCAUGGAUCUCUUCGAUAGGUGGUAGAUUUUUGACAUCUUCAGAUUUAAUGCCUUUCUCUCGCAUAGAUUUCUUGGCUUCUUGCAUAUCUUCAGGACUGAGGAAUAAAAUACCUCUUUUCUUCAGAGUUGGCUUAGGAGGUGGUUCGGGAAUAGUCCAAGCAUUCUCAUUGCACAGGAUGUUAUUCAGUAGAAUCUCAGCCUGUUCUACAGUUCGUUCCCUAAAAACACAAGCAAUACAACUAUCUAGGUGGUCUCUGGAAGCAUCGGUAAGUCCAUUAUAGAAGAUAUAAAGUAUUUCAUUCUUCUCAAGAGGGUGAUCAGGCAAAGCAUUCAGUAGCUGGAUGAGCCUCCCCCAAGCUUGUGGAAGACUCUCUUCUUCAGCUUGAGCAAAGUUGUAUAUUUCCUGCAAGGCAGCUUGCUUCUUAUGGGGAGGGAAAUAUUUUUCAGAGAAGUAUUAGACCAUAUCCUGGGGGCUAUGCACACAACCAGGAGCAAGAGAAGUGAACCAAGUCUUAGCAUCAUCCUUUAGCGAGAAAGGAAACAGCUUGAGGAUAUAGUAGUGGCGGAUCUUUUCCUCACUAGUGAAUAGGGUGGCCAUAUCGUGCAGUUUGGUAAGAUGGGCUACAACCGUUUCAGACUCAUAACCGUGAAAAGGAUCAGAUUCGACCAGAGUGAUUAACUCAGGGUUGACAGAGAAUUCAUAAUCCUUAUCGGUCACAAAGAUAGGCGAAGUAGCAAACUUCGGGUCAUAUUUCAUCCUAGCGUUCAGAGAUUUUUCUUUCCACUUGCAUAAUAAUUUCUCAACAUCAUAGUUAUCCUUACACGCAAGAAAGUCCUCAGCUAUCUCUCCCUCCAUAACAUAGCGUGUAUCAGGCAUAGCAGGCAUAGUAUCAAGCAUAGCAUCAUCGGGCAUAGUAUCAAGCAUAGCAUCAUGGGCAGCAAAAGUAGCAUCAUCUAGCAUAGGCGACAUAUCAAGAUUUCUAGCUAGAGGUGAAGUCACAAACUUACUCAAAACUGAAGGUGAAUCAAGUGCAGAGCUAGAUGGCAGUUCCUUACCUCUCCUUGUAGUGGAAGACAAGAUUUUAGUUCUUGGAUCUUUCGGAUUCCUCAUAGUGAUCAGCAGACGCCAAUCCCAAGUGACUCAGAGAAUAUAGCUGUGCUUACCCGGCAACGACGCUAGAAAAAUGUCUUGAUGACCCACAAGUAUAGGGGAUCGCAACAGUUUUCGAGGGUAGAGUAUUCGACCCAAAUUUGUUGAUUCGCCAAAGGGGAAGCGAAAGAAUAUUCUCAAGUAUUAGCAGCUCAGUUUGUCAAAUUCAACCACACCUGAAAUAUUAGUGUCUGCAAGCAAAGUAUCAGUAGCAAAGUAGUAUGAUAGCAACGGUGUCAGAAACAUAACUGUUGACGACAGACUAUUCCUAACUGUUGUAUCAAUGGCGCCAAUGUUGCACGUGGGCGGGGAACUAUUCUUUCCCGACAAUGGUGUCGAAAAAGUCUUGCAACAAGUAACAGUGAAGUAGCAAGGAACAGCAGUAGCAGCAGAGUAACAACAGUAGCAACAGUAGUACCAAAGUGGCCCAAUCCCUUUUGUAGCAAGGGACAAGCCUAGACAAAGUAACGUAGCAAGGACUAGUAGUAAAAUACUCGUAGGCAGUGGAUCGGUGAUGGAUGAGUAUGACGGAUGUGAUUCAUCAUGUAACAGCUAUAAUACGGAGAGAUAAGUAACUAGCUCUCGUUCGUCAAUCUAAUGUAGGCAUGUAUUCCGUAUGUAGUCAUACGUGCUUAGGAAAAAGAACUUGCAUGACAUCUAUUGUACAUCCCUCCCGUGGCAGCGGGGUCCUAAUGGAAACUAUGGGAUAUUAAGGUUCUCCUUUUAAUAAAGAACCGGACCAACGCAUUAACACGCGGUAUAUACAUGAACUCCUCAUACUAUGGUCAUCUCCGGGAGGUGGCGGCGCCUCCGUAUCGUAAAACGCGAUGAAACCUUCUCUCUGAUUUUUUUUCCGGGCGAGACGGAAUAAAUAGAGCUGAGUUUGGGGGCGGAGGUGCCACAUGGGCCCCACAAGCCCUCACGGCGCGGCCUAGGGGGGUGGCCGCGGCCUGUGGGCUUGUGGCCCACUGGCACGCCCCCUCUGGUGGAUCUUUGCGCAGGUAUUUUUCUUUUAUUCCAAAAAAAAUCUCCGUAAAUUUUCAGGACAUUCAGAGAACUUUUAUUUCUGAACAAAAACAACACCAUGGCAAUUCUGCUGAAAACAGCGUUAGUCCGGGUUAGUUCCAUUCAAAUCAUGCAAGUUAGAGUCCAAAACAAGGGCAAAAGAGUUCGAAAAAGUAGAUACGACGGAGACGUAUCACGUUCCAAGCAAGCCAGGCUCUCGGUUCUUUAAGUAUUGUGCCGUUGCAAGUCAGGUCUCAAUGCAGGCAACCAAACGGCCCAUUUUCAUCCCUCCAAGGACUGGUUGCUCUCUAUGCAGGCAACCAAACACGUCCUACUAGACCUUGAUGUCUCUUUUCCUGGCGUCUCUUAUUCCUUGGUACCUUUUUCACAUUCUUCUUAUUGCUAAUCUAUUGUCUCGCAGGAACUAACUCCUCUCUUUUCCUUCAUGUGCGACAAAUUUGAAUGUAAUGGAAGAAUGUUCCAACUAGUAGAACUUGAUGU